RNAcentral lists this ribosomal RNA (369 nucleotides) under Graphium sarpedon. RNAcentral describes it as "partial 12S ribosomal RNA". Lineage: Eukaryota; Metazoa; Arthropoda; Insecta; Lepidoptera; Papilionidae. The record is from RNAcentral.
UAAACUAGGGAAUAGAUACCCUAUUAUAAAAAAUUAAUUUUUAAUACUAAAAUAGUAAAUAAUUAUUUAUUGAAACUUAAAUAAUUUGGCGGUAUUUUAGUUCAUUUAGAGGAAUCUGUCUAUUAAUUGAUAAUCCACGAAUAAUCAUAUUUAAUUUAAAAUUUUAUAUAUCGUUGUUAAAAAAAUAUUUUUAAAAAAUAAUAAUAUUUAAAAAUUUAGAAAAAAAAUUAAUUCAGAUCAAGAUGUAGAUCAUAAUUAAAAUUUAAGAUGGAUUACAAUAUAAAAAUAUAAAUGGAAAAUAAUUUGAAAUAAUUAUUAGAAAGUGGAUUUAAAUGUAAUUUUAAAUAAUCCGUGGCAAUGCCCGACGGA